This 397-nucleotide ribosomal RNA is filed under the name uncultured bacterium. RNAcentral's name for it is "partial 16S ribosomal RNA". It matches the Rfam family "Bacterial small subunit ribosomal RNA", at positions 523 to 918 of the family's 1533-position model. The record is from RNAcentral.
AUACGUAGGGGGCGAGCGGUGUCCGGAAUGAUUGGGCGUAAAGGGCGCGUAGGCGGCCCGGUAAGUCUGGAGUGAAAGUCCUGUUUUUAAGAUGGGAAUUGCUUUGGAUACUGUCGGGCUUGAGUGCAGGAGAGGUAAGUGGAAUUCCCAGUGUAGCGGUGAAAUGCGUAGAGAUUGGGAGGAACACCAGUGGCGAAGGCGACUUACUGGACUGGAACUGACGCUGAGGCGCGAAAGUGUGGGGAGCAAACAGGAUUAGAUACCCUGGUAGUCCACACUGUAAACGAUGAAUGCUAGGUGUAGGGGGUAUCGACCCCUUCUGUGCCGCAGGCAACACAAUAAGCAUUCCGCCUGGGGAGUACGGCCGCAAGGUUGAAACUCAAAGGAAUUGACGGGG